Molecule: non-coding RNA, 73 nt
Organism: Myotis lucifugus (little brown bat)
Lineage: Eukaryota; Metazoa; Chordata; Mammalia; Chiroptera; Vespertilionidae
Source: Rfam
GUCGAUGUGGUUCAGUGGUUAGAGCAUCAGCUCACAAACCGAAGGGUCGCAGGUUCAAUUCCAGUCAAGGACA